This 447-nucleotide ribosomal RNA is filed under the name uncultured bacterium. RNAcentral's name for it is "bacterial SSU rRNA". It matches the Rfam family "Bacterial small subunit ribosomal RNA", at positions 328 to 792 of the family's 1533-position model. The record is from RNAcentral.
UCCCCAGACUCCUACGGGAGGCAGCAGUGGGGGAUAUUGCACAAUGGGGGAAACCCUGAUGCAGCGACGCCGCGUGAGUGAAGAAGUAAUUCGUUCCGUAAAGCUCUAUCAGCAGGGAAGAAAAUGACGGUACCUGACUAAGAAGCCCCGGCUAACUACGUGCCAGCAGCCGCGGUAAUACGUAGGGGGCAAGCGUUAUCCGGAUUUACUGGGUGUAAAGGGCGUGUAGGCGGGGACGCAAGUCAGAUGUGAAAACCACGGGCUCAACCUGUGGCCUGCAUUUGAAACUGUGUUUCUUGAGUACUGGAGAGGCAGACGGAAUUCCUAGUGUAGCGGUGAAAUGCGUAGAUAUUAGGAGGAACACCAGUGGCGAAGGCGGUCUGCCGGACAGCAACUGACGCUGAGGCGCGAAAGCGUGGGGAGCAAACAGGAUUAGAUACCCUUGUC